RNAcentral lists this ribosomal RNA (443 nucleotides) under uncultured bacterium. RNAcentral describes it as "bacterial SSU rRNA". It matches the Rfam family "Bacterial small subunit ribosomal RNA", at positions 331 to 792 of the family's 1533-position model. The record is from RNAcentral.
CCAGACUCCUACGGGAGGCAGCAGUGAGGGAUAUUGGUCAAUGGGGGAAACCCUGAACCAGCAACGCCGCGUGAGGGAAGGCGGUUUUCGGAUUGUAAACCUCUGUCCUCUGUGAAGAUAAUGACGGUAGCAGAGGAGGAAGCUCCGGCUAACUACGUGCCAGCAGCCGCGGUAAUACGGAGGAUGCGAGCGUUAUCCGGAUUUAUUGGGUUUAAAGGGUGCGUAGGCGGGUUAUCAAGUCAGCGGUAAAAUCGUGGAGCUCAACUCCAUCCAGCCGUUGAAACUGAUGAUCUUGAGUGGGCGAGAAGUAUGCGGAAUGCGUGGUGUAGCGGUGAAAUGCAUAGAUAUCACGCAGAACUCCGAUUGCGAAGGCAGCAUACCGGCGCCCGACUGACGCUGAAGCACGAAAGCGUGGGUAUCGAACAGGAUUAGAUACCCGAGUA